AGUGAACGCUGGCGGUAGGCCUAACACAUGCAAGUCGAACGGCAGCACAGAGGAGCUUGCUCCUUGGGUGGCGAGUGGCGGACGGGUGAGGAAUACAUCGGAAUCUACUCUGUCGUGGGGGAUAACGUAGGGAAACUUACGCUAAUACCGCAUACGACCUACGGGUGAAAGCAGGGGAUCUUCGGACCUUGCGCGAUUGAAUGAGCCGAUGUCGGAUUAGCUAGUUGGCGGGGUAAAGGCCCACCAAGGCGACGAUCCGUAGCUGGUCUGAGAGGAUGAUCAGCCACACUGGAACCGAGACACGGUCCAGACUCCUACGGGAGGCAGCAGUGGGGAAUAUUGGACAAUGGGCGCAAGCCUGAUCCAGCCAUACCGCGUGGGCGAAGAAGGCCUUCGGGUUGUAAAGCCCUUUUGUUGGGAAAGAAAUCCAUCUGGUUAAUACCCGGGUGGGAUGACGGUACCCAAAGAAUAAGCACCGGCUAACUUAGUGCCAGCAGCCGCAGUAA
Molecule: ribosomal RNA, 506 nt
Filed under: uncultured bacterium
Lineage: Bacteria
Description: partial 16S ribosomal RNA
Rfam family: Bacterial small subunit ribosomal RNA
Source: RNAcentral